This 1029-nucleotide long non-coding RNA is filed under the name Neogale vison (American mink). RNAcentral describes it as "Neovison vison (American mink) lncRNA (ENSNVIG00000017225.1)". The record is from RNAcentral. Lineage: Eukaryota; Metazoa; Chordata; Mammalia; Carnivora; Mustelidae.
AUGCUGGUGAUGGAGGGGAGGCAGGUGGCCUGGAGUUUCUCUGCCUCUGCCCAGGAUCCAGCUUCUCCCCUGGUCCAUGUGGGCAGAGAUGGCCUGAGGGCCAUUUGUCACUAUGGAGGAAGUGUCGCUAUCCCCUCCCACCCUGAUCCCUGCCCGGACCAUGUGACCCAAUAUGUCCUCUCUCACCAGAGUGCCUGCCCCUGUUCUAGAAGCUCUACCCUCCGGCUGAAGCCACUUAUACCCUUGACCCCUAGAAGAACCAGCAGAGACAGGGGUCUACUCCCUCCCAAUGUCAGGCUUUGGCUGUCCUGCCUGGCUAGCUGGGCAAACCCAGGCAGUGUUUCCAGAGGAACCCUGAGACACAGGGGGCUGUUCUGUAGGGAAGCUGGAGUGACCCAAGGUGUGUGCUCCAGGCCAGGGGACAUCCUGAGCCAAGGCCAGCAACAGGACAGCGCGGGAUCUGGUAGGCCACACGCACUCCAGUGGCCAUUCACUCAGAUCCUGGGGGCGCUGACUCUGGAUUUGGGCAUGGGAGGGCAGAGGGCAGAGGCUUCAGGGAGUCCCGGUGAAGUAAUGAGGCACCCUGGAAGGUUUCAGGCAGUCCAGAGAUUAGAUCUUUCCUGCACCUCCGUGGACUGGCCAGGCACAUACAAGGGAACAAGACUGACAGCAGCACUGUCCCCCUGGGGGGUCACAGUCCAGCCAUGUCAUUUCAGUUACUCUGAUUUCUGUGAUGUAGGAAGCCCAGCAUGUCCCUCAGUGCCAGGCCCUGUUCGUAAGUCUUUCCGUAAUGGCAAAAUAGACAACAUCAAAUUGGCCAUCUUGACCAUUUUUCAGUGUACAGCUCAGAGUACAUUAAGUUUUGAGCAACGGCCCCCACCAUCCGUCUCCAGAACUCUUCGUCUUGGAAAACCGAGACUCUGGCCCCGUGAAAUACCAUCUCCUCACACCACCGCCCCCACCCCAUCCCUGGCACCCACUGUCUACUUCCUGUCUGUGAAUCUGACUUCUCGAGUGGACCUCCUGUAA